This 316-nucleotide ribosomal RNA is filed under the name uncultured Bulleidia sp. Its description in RNAcentral is "bacterial SSU rRNA". It matches the Rfam family "Bacterial small subunit ribosomal RNA", at positions 28 to 339 of the family's 1533-position model. Lineage: Bacteria; Bacillati; Bacillota; Erysipelotrichia; Erysipelotrichales; Erysipelotrichaceae. The record is from RNAcentral.
GAUGAACGCUGGCGGCGUGCCUAAUACAUGCAAGUCGAACGAGCGAGACCAAGCUUGCUUGGUUAAGCUAGUGGCGAACGGGUGAGUAAUACGUAAGCAACCUGCCUACAAGGACUGGGAUAACACCUGGAAACGGGCGCUAAUACCGGAUAGGUAACGGGAGGGCAUCCUCCUGUUAUUAAAGGUUUGAAACACAAGUAGAUGGGCUUACGGUGCAUUAGCUAGUUGGUGAGGUAACGGCCCACCAAGGCGAUGAUGCAUAGCCGGCCUGAGAGGGUGAACGGCCACAUUGGGACUGAGACACGGCCCAGACUCC